GUUGUAAGGUUAAGUGACUAAGCGUACAUGGUGGAUGCCUAGGCAGUCAGAGGCGAUGAAGGGCGUGCUAAUCUGCGAAAAGCGCCGGCAAGGUGAUACGAACCGCUAUAGCCAGCGAUACCCGAAUGGGGAAACCCAGUGCGAUACGUCACACUAUCGUUAAGUGAAUACAUAGCUUGACGAGGCAAACCGGAGGAACUGAAACAUCUAAGUACCCCGAGGAAAAGAAAUCAACCGAGAUCCCCCCAGUAGCGGCGAGCGAACGGGGGCCAGCCCAGAACCUAAAUCAGCGGGCGUGUUAGUGGACGCGUCUGGAAAGUCGCGCAGUAAAGGGUGAUAGCCCCGUACACAAAAAUGCACUGGCUGUGAGUUCGAUGAGUAGGGCGGGACACGUGACAUCCUGUCUAAAUACGGGGGGCCAUCCUCCAAGGCUAAAUACUCCUGACUGACCGAUAGUGAACCAGUACCGUGAGGGAAAGGCGAAAAAAACCCCGGCGAGGGGAGUGAAAAAGAACCUGAAACCGUGUACGUACAAGCAGUGGGAGCACCGUUAAGGUGCGACUGCGUACCUUUUGUAUAAUGGGUCAGCGACUUAUAUUUUGUAGCAAGGUUAACCGCAUAGGGGAGCCG
Molecule: ribosomal RNA, 630 nt
Filed under: Serratia symbiotica
Lineage: Bacteria; Pseudomonadati; Pseudomonadota; Gammaproteobacteria; Enterobacterales; Yersiniaceae
Description: partial 23S ribosomal RNA
Rfam family: Bacterial large subunit ribosomal RNA
Source: RNAcentral